RNAcentral lists this ribosomal RNA (549 nucleotides) under Trachysalambria parvispina. RNAcentral describes it as "partial 12S ribosomal RNA". Lineage: Eukaryota; Metazoa; Arthropoda; Malacostraca; Decapoda; Penaeidae. The record is from RNAcentral.
GAUGUUUGGUUAAAAUACUUAAAUGUUAUAUUUAUAUAGGUGAGUUGUUUUGUGUCAUUAAAGGGUGAAAUCAAUUUUUUGUUGAAUAAAUAAAUUCGUCUAAUAUAAUUUAGUUGAGGUUGUUAAAGUUAGGGCAUGAACCAGGAUUAGAGACCCUGUUACACCUAAUUUUAAGUUCAAAUACCUGGGUAGUAAACAGUUAUAGUCUUGAAACUUAAAGGAUUUGGCGGUAAUUUAGUCUAGUUAGAGGAACCUGUCCUGUAAUCGAUAGUCCACGAAAAAUCUUACUUUACUUUGAGAUAUUCAGUUUAUAUACCGUCAUUAUUAGGCAACUUUAAUUAAAAAUAGAAGUUGCUGCAAUAGUUUUUAAUUAGUAUAUUAGAUCAAGGUGUAGCCUAUAGUAAAGUAGAGAUGGGUUACAAUAAUAUUAGUUUAAUAAAACGAACCUAAAAUAGAAAAGUUUUAGUGAAGGAGGAUUUAAAUGUAAAAAUAUUUUAACAUGGUAUUUUGAUUGUAGCUCUAGGUUAUGUACACAUCGCCCGUCGCUCU